CCACUAUCCAUCCUCAAAACUUUUUCAUCGUCCCAAACUAUAGCUUUCGUUUUUAAAUUAUCAUUAUGGCCAUUUCAGAUAUGGCUUCCUGGGUCCACCCUUUGGAAGUGUGUGAUGGGGAUUCUUCCCAAAGAAGGGACAUCGUGGGUAGGCACUCCAAGAGCCUGCGGAAAGCAUCACAAUUUCAGUUCUUUAAGCCUUACGGAGCGCUUUCUCACCUAAUUUUAUGCAAUCCUCCUGGGGAAGGACUUCUUGAUAGGAAGAGGUUAUGAUCCUUAUUUUACAGGAAAGGAGCCUGAGGUCCAGGAAGUCUGACUGGCCCAACAUCUCCCAUCUUACUUGUAGAGUCAGGACUCAAGGCCAAGUCUUCUCACGCCAAGUUUGUGCCUUUUCCAUGACAUCUCGGUGAUGUAACUACUCAGCCAAGCUUCAUACCCAUUUGUUUAUAGUUCCUAAUAUGUACUCCGUUUCCGACUAUGAGAAGGGAGAGAAGAAUUCUCAAACUGGAAUGUGUGGGCGGCGCUAUCUGCGAUGGAGUGAAGGCAGUGGUGGGAAACUGCUGGGCGCUUAGCAAGAAUCAAGGCAGUGACACCAAACUGUGCUGCUUCUCCCAACAACCCACUGGAACAGGAAGAAGCUCAAACAUUCCACUUCUUCAACAUCAUAUCCUUGUUCUUUCUUGGGACAGCAAGCUCAGUGGUCUGGUCAUCCAAUUUGUAUUCAUUCCCACCUUCAAGAUAUCGGAGCUAGACAAGGGGGCAAGAAGACAGCAGAGUUACAGAAGGGGACUGUCCCAUUUCAGAGUCUAUCUGGCUGAUGUAAAAAAUGAGACAUUUCAUAAUUUGGUCUGCUGUUGUGUCCAUCACUGGAAAACCCAGCAUCUUCUUGGAUAAGACCUUGCACUCGGAUUGUAUUACUGUAACUGUAUCAUAGUCAUCAUUGUGGAAAUCAUUGACAAGCCACAAAAGAAGCAAGUUUUGUGCAUGAUUGCCACUUAUCGUUUUGAUUCCUUUGAUCGUCACAUCUACUUGUUUGGCAAUUCUGGUCCCUAAAUUACACAUUUGGUAUAUUUGGUCAGUCUUGAAAUUUCAAAGACAACAAGCUGUCCAGCCAUCUGCAAGAUGUCACUGAAGCCCCUGGUGUUCUCACAGAUUGCAGCUUGUCUGUUCUGAAAGAUGACCAACAAAUCUGGUCCAAGCCUGAGUAAAACAACUGACUGGUCUCAGAGCAACACAGGGUCAUUCACGAGCCUAGCAGUUCCCACGCAAAACCACCCAGCACGUACUUACAAAAGUAAGGCGAGUGGGGACCUGGUAUUUUCCACAUCAUCUUGGAGAAGCACUGUUUUAUUUGUUUGUUUUGUUUAUUUUUCUUCUUUGGGCAUAUUUUGUGUGAUUAAGAAGUGCUGUUAGCUUAGGGGAAUAAGACAAAAAUGCCUUGCAAAUAUCUUGCUUUGGCAUUGCCAAAUUUAACCUUUUGCAUGCAUGUAUUGGACUGGGGGAUUGCUGUUUUAUUUUGUUUUAGACGCGUAGGGGUAGCGUGUGGAGUAAGACUUUGCAGAGAUUACUGCAGAAGUCAUUUUAUUUUCAUAAAGAGGGAAAAAUACACCCAUCUCAUAAUUACAAGUAUUUGGAGCUGAAAUAUGAGACAGAUUCUAUUCCUGCCUUUCACAUAACCUCUAGAUUUCCUCGUCUGCCAAGUGAACAGCCGUUUAAAUCCCCCUCCAAAGAUUCAUUCAUUCGCUGUUUCUACAGGAUCUACUAUGGGCCCUCGGUGCUGAUAACACCGAUUCUUGGAGAGCUCAAGAUUGUCUCCAAUGCCUUUAAGCACCACUCCCAUCCUCCUUUAAAACGAGCUCCUGAAUUCUCCCCCAAAUAGAUCAGAACACUUUGUGUCUGCAAAUACACACGGAGAAAAGAAACGUGUCAGUGGCGUUCACGCGGCGCCGAGCUAGACCGGGUGUGCCAGCGGGCUAGGGAGCUCUCCUUUCUUUGUAAAGGGCAACCCAGCCACUCGAAAAAGAACAAUGUAAAGGGCAUCUGGGGUCAGGGCGGGACACCCAAGCGCUCCUUUCUCGGCUGGGGAAACCUGGGAAACAUUUUUGGGCUCGGGCCGAGUCACGCGGCAAUUCCACGGCAGGAAUUGUGCAAUGGGGCGAGCCGGGCGGGCGUCCGGGGGUGGAAGGAAGCGGUGGGGGGAGGGGGGGGGGGCUUCCAUCGGCCAACCUCCCCGCCGCCGGGGGAAGUGCAAGCUCGACGGCGCGCCCAGGACAGCAGGGGUCCGGGGGGGCCCCCCAGCCAGGGCCGAGGGAGCGGCGCGCCGCGUCAAACAGCGCGUGGGGCCACCAGCCGCUGCCCGGCCCGGGCGACACGGGGCCACCGCCCCGCCGCCCCGACGGCACUGGGAACUCCGGGCGCACUUUCCGUAAGGGCCGCGGGGCUUCCAGCGGCGCCCGCGCCCCCGCCCCCGCCGCCCGGCCCGCGCGCUCGGCCGGUGACGCAGCGGCCGGCUGCGCGGAAGUCUGCGCGGAAACCGGGAACCUCCGCGCCACCGCGCCGCCCUGUCCCCGCCCCCUGUCCCCGCUGAGCCCGGGACCGCGCGUGCCCGCCCCGCUGAGCCCCCGGCUGCGCGUGCCCGCAGGAGCGCCGAGCGGUCCCUGGCGCAGGCUCGGCAGUGAGCGUGUGGUCACGUUCUUUCCUCGCGUCCCUAUGCUAGUGAGGGGCGCGCUCUCAUUAGCUUCACUUAGAGGGGAGACUCAGGCUCCGCAGAGAUCCGCUUCCUUGCUUGAAGCCACACAAGGCAGAGCUGCGCAUCGCAUCCAGGGUGUCUUGCGCAGCUGUCGGACUCCCCUGGAUCGGCCACUUCGCGGCUCUCAUUCCAGUGAGCAGCGGACGGGUGACAGGUGGGACCGGUAAACUGAGCUGCAGCCCCGGUCCCCGCGGCGGCGGCCGUGUGCUUCUGGCUGGAACGCACUCCUCUGCCCGAGUGUGCUGUAAAAAUAUUUUUUCACC
RNAcentral lists this long non-coding RNA (3011 nucleotides) under Equus caballus (horse). RNAcentral's name for it is "lncRNA (ENSECAG00000040390.3)". Lineage: Eukaryota; Metazoa; Chordata; Mammalia; Perissodactyla; Equidae. The record is from RNAcentral.